CUUUCACUUUGUGUGGCUAUCUGGUGGAGGCCAAACUUUGAAACUAUAAUGUACCCCUAUUUCCCUCCACAUAUCACAAAGCCUAAGGAGUGUAAGAAGCUUUUCCUUGUUCACUUGUCUGAAAGAGAGUACUUCGCAGUACC
Molecule: non-coding RNA, 143 nt
Organism: Camellia sinensis
Lineage: Eukaryota; Viridiplantae; Streptophyta; Magnoliopsida; Ericales; Theaceae
Source: RefSeq, a predicted model, not a curated record